This 995-nucleotide unclassified non-coding RNA is filed under the name Hevea brasiliensis (rubber tree). Lineage: Eukaryota; Viridiplantae; Streptophyta; Magnoliopsida; Malpighiales; Euphorbiaceae. The record is from RNAcentral.
GCAAUGCAUGCCCUAUUGAAGAACUUUUCGCCUGUUUCCCAAAGCUUAAAUUCCCACUACUUCCACGCUUUGGAACAUUUUUCAAUUUAGAAUACUUCAGUUCCAAUAUUUGAGCAUCCAAGUUCUCUUCAUGUUUACCAGGAAAAACAUUAGCCUCAUCAUUGUAAAUUGCUACAUCAGCAGAGGAAUCCGUUGACACAGACCAUCCCAUAGGUUGCAUUUCUGUCUCUACUGUCCGUAAACGGUCAACCAAAUCACUUUUUACCCGAGAAUGAUUCCUCAAAACAGAGAGAUUCAGACCCAUCUUUGAGUUUCCUGCAUUUGCUUCAUCUUCAGUUGGUAAAGCAUAAUUCAUAUCAUCUCCAUUUCUCACUUCACUAGUUCCAUCUUCUCCUGGCUGAUUGCUUACCAAUCCACUGUUAUUCUCAGAACUCUCUAUCUGGGUUUCUCCCCUUGAAUUCAGAUCACUUGAAUUAGGCACUGAUAAAUCAAUCUGAACCUCAAAGUUGUCGCAUACUAUAGGGGCACGACAUAAAGGGCAAUUCUUGUGUGACCUUAACCAAGCGUCAAUACAAGGAAUGUGAAAAGCAUGACUACACUUCGGCAAAAGCCUAAGACUCUCAUCUUCUUGAAACUCAUUCAAGCAAACAGAGCAUUCUGUACCUUCUAUCAGACCUUCAUCUUUUUUAUACUUAAAGACUGAAAUGGAAUCAAUAACAGAUUGCUGAAGACCGACAGUUCUGAUGAACCAUGUAGGGUGGUUGAUUUCUGGUCCUUGGUCUUCAUCAAGAAAGUCCGCUUGGGUGCCAAAAAAUAGAGGUGGACCACUUCGUGAGCUUCUUGAACGUCUCUGCCUAGAGGAGCGAGCUCUUAAAAUUGCGCANNNNNAAUAUAGCACCAAUCAAACAACCCAUGAUUAUCAUAGCAGUUGCGAUUAGAUGGUUUUGCGCUUCAUCGACUGGAGUUGGCAGAUUUAGAGUUACUGGUGGUUGUGG